This 497-nucleotide ribosomal RNA is filed under the name uncultured bacterium. RNAcentral describes it as "partial 16S ribosomal RNA". It matches the Rfam family "Bacterial small subunit ribosomal RNA", at positions 28 to 507 of the family's 1533-position model. The record is from RNAcentral.
GAUGAACGCUGGCGGCGUGCCUAAUACAUGCAAGUCGAGCGAACAGACGAGGAGCUUUCUCCUCUGACGUUAGCGGCGGACGGGUGAGUAACACGUGGAUAACCUACCUAUAAGACUGGGAUAACUUCGGGAAACCGUAGCUAAUACCGGAUAAUAUAUUGAACCGCAUGGUUCACUAGUGAAAGACGGUUUUGCUGUCACUUAUAGAUGGAUCCGCGCCGCAUUAGCUAGUUGGUAAGGUAACGGCUUACCAAGGCAACGAUGCGUAGCCGACCUGAGAGGGUGAUCGGACACACUGGAACUGAGACAGGGCCCAGACUCCUACGGGAGGAAGCAGUAGGGAAUCUUCCGCAAGGGGCGAAAGCCGGACGGAGGAACGCCGCGGGAGUGAUGAAGGUCUUCGGACCGUAGAACUAUGUUAGCAGGGAAGAAGAAAUGCGUAAGUAACUAUGAACAUCUUGACGGUACCGAAACAGAAAGCCACGGCUAACUCCGUG